RNAcentral lists this long non-coding RNA (431 nucleotides) under Triticum aestivum (bread wheat). Its description in RNAcentral is "long non-coding RNA (TAES_LNC025709)". Lineage: Eukaryota; Viridiplantae; Streptophyta; Magnoliopsida; Poales; Poaceae. The record is from RNAcentral.
AUGGAAGUGCUUGAAGAGAGGAGUUGUCCCCUGCAUGAAAGAAAAUGUGUGAAAAUCAUGAGUUGUUCACCAUAACUAAAAGAUUAGAACAAGUACCAAGUAAAUAAGGUAUCGCUAAUUAUUUCAUGCUAACCUGUUCAACAUUCUUGAUCUAUUCUUCCAUGCAACUAAACCAUCCAGCGGUUGGAGAACUUCAAAGCAGUGUUUGGUUUACUUUAACUUGGUGUAAACAUCUCCCAUGAAAAUGCAAAGAGAUAUUGAGUUUUCAUGGUCAUAUGGUGUGCAUCAUGUGAAAGUUCAUAGACGUGAUGUGGAUUUGAGGAGUGAAUGAUGCAUGAACUCAUAACCCAACUCAGAGUUUGCUUCCCUUGCAUGCUUUUCUGAUAUGCCAACAUGAUGAUUCAGUUUGUUGCAUGAGAAAUAACAGGGCC